Raphanus sativus (radish) is the source of this 108-nucleotide small nucleolar RNA. Lineage: Eukaryota; Viridiplantae; Streptophyta; Magnoliopsida; Brassicales; Brassicaceae. The record is from RefSeq and is a predicted model, not a curated record.
AAACCAUGGUGUGGACACUGAGCUAGGUAGCCAUUGAACCUCUCCCAUACUUCACUGAAUCCUUCCAAGUUCUUCUGUUUGAAACCAUAUAUCUUAUUCCUGUAGUCA